AGCAGCCGCGGUAAUUCCAGCUCCAAUAGCGUAUAUUAAAGUUGUUGCAGUUAAAAAGCUCGUAGUUGAAUUUCGGGAUCAAUAUUUCGGUCAUGCCGUUGGUAUGCACUGUUAUCAUUGAUUUCUCACCUUCUAAAGAACCGUAAUGCCAUUAAUUUGGUGUUACGGGGAAUUAGGACUGUUACCUUGAAAAAUUAGAGUGUUUAAAGCAGGCUCACGCUUGAAUACAUUAGCAUGGAAUAAUGAAAUAGGACAUCCGAUUCUAUUUUGUUGGUUUCUAGGAUCGAUGUAACGAUUAAUAGGGAUAGUUGGGGGCAUUAGUAUUCAAUUGUCAGAGGUGAAAUUCUUGGGUUUAUUGAAGACUAACUACUGCGAAAGCAUUUGCCAAGGAUGUUUUCAUUAAUCAAGAACGAAAGUUAGGGGAUCGAAGACGAUCAGAUA
RNAcentral lists this ribosomal RNA (441 nucleotides) under uncultured Glomus. RNAcentral's name for it is "SSU rRNA". It matches the Rfam family "Eukaryotic small subunit ribosomal RNA", at positions 569 to 1014 of the family's 1831-position model. Lineage: Eukaryota; Fungi; Glomeromycota; Glomeromycetes; Glomerales; Glomeraceae. The record is from RNAcentral.